This 82-nucleotide non-coding RNA is filed under the name bovine gut metagenome. RNAcentral's name for it is "S10-Clostridia ribosomal protein leader". It matches the Rfam family "S10-Clostridia ribosomal protein leader". The record is from RNAcentral.
UGAUAGCGUUGAAGCGUGAGGUUGCUGCGGGGAUCCGCAGGUUUUCCGUGGAGCGAAUGUCAAGUUUCCAAACUGACGACAA